RNAcentral lists this ribosomal RNA (253 nucleotides) under uncultured bacterium. RNAcentral's name for it is "partial 16S ribosomal RNA". It matches the Rfam family "Bacterial small subunit ribosomal RNA", at positions 524 to 776 of the family's 1533-position model. The record is from RNAcentral.
UACAGAGGGGGCAAGCGUUGUUCGGAAUUACUGGGCGUAAAGGGCGCGUAGGCGGCCCGCUAAGUCGAACGUGAAAUCCCCGAGCUCAACUCGGGAACUGCGUCCGAUACUGGCGGGCUUGAAUCCGGGAGAGGGAUGCGGAAUUCCAGGUGUAGCGGUGAAAUGCGUAGAUAUCAGGAGGAACGCCGGAGGCGAAAGCGAGUGACUGGCGCGUUCCUGACGCUGAGGUGCGAAAGCUAGGGGAGCAAACAGG